Molecule: ribosomal RNA, 959 nt
Filed under: uncultured bacterium
Lineage: Bacteria
Description: bacterial SSU rRNA
Rfam family: Bacterial small subunit ribosomal RNA
Source: RNAcentral
ACGAAGGUACUGGGGUUAAUAGCCUUCAGUAUUGACGGUACCUAAAAAGGAAGUCUCGGCUAACUCCGUGCCAGCAGCCGCGGUAAGACGGGGGAGGCAAGCGUUGUCCGGAAUUAUUGGGCGUAAAGAGCUCGUAGGUGGUAUAUUAAGUCAUUUGUGAAAACUUCAGGCUUAACUUAAAGAAUGCAAGUGAUACUGGUAUACUUGAGCACAGUAGAGGAAAAUGGAAUUCCUGGUGUAGCGGUGAAAUGCGCAGAUAUCAGGAAGAACACCAGUGGCGAAGGCGGUUUUCUGGGCUGUUGCUGACACUGAGGAGCGAAAGCUAGGGGAGCGAACAGGAUUAGAUACCCUGGUAGUCUUAGCUGUAAACGAUGGACACUAGGUGUGGGGAGUUAUCGACGCUCUCCGUGCCGAAGCAAACGCAUUAAGUGUCCCGCCUGGGGAGUACGGUCGCAAGACUAAAACUCAAAAGAAUUGACGGGGGCCCGCACAAGCGGCGGAGCAUGUGGCUUAAUUCGACGCAACGCGAAGAACCUUACCAAGGUUUGACACCAUAUUGAAGUUAGUAGAAAUAUUAACGCCCGCAAGGGCAGUAUGACAGGUGGUGCAUGGUUGUCGUCAGCUCGUGUCGUGAGAUGUUGGGUUAAGUCCCGCAACGAGCGCAACCCUCGUCCCAUGUUGCCAUCAGGUUAAGCUGGGCACUCUUGGGAUACUGCCAGUGUAAAACUGGAGGAAGGUGGGGAUGACGUCAAAUCAUCAUGCCCUUUAUAUCUUGGGCUGCACACGUGCUACAAUGGCCUGUACAAAGAGCUGCGAUACCGCGGGGUGGAGCGAAUCUCAAAAAACAGGUCUAAGUCCAGAUUGAAGGCUGAAACUUGCCUUCAUGAAGUCGGAGUCGCUAGUAAUCGUGGAUCAGCACGCCACGGUGAAUACGUUCCCGGGCCUUGUACACACCGCCC